UCCCUACGGGAGGCUGCAGUCGAGGAUCAUUCGCAAUGGGCGCAAGCCUGACGGUGCGACGCCGCGUGCAGGAUGAAGGCCUUCGGGUUGUAAACUGCUGUCAUGAGGGAGCAACGACUCUAGCUCUAAUACCGCUAGGGAAUGAUAGUACCUCAGGAGGAAGCCACGGCUAACUCUGUGCCAGCAGCCGCGGUAAUACAGAGGCGGCAAGCGUUGUUCGGAUUUACUGGGCGUAAAGGGUGCGUAGGCGGUUCCGGGUGUCGGAUGUGAAAGCCCACAGCUCAACUGUGGAACUGCAUUCGAAACUAUGGUGCUAGAGUACGAGAGAGGAGAGCGGAAUUCUUGGUGUAGCAGUGAAAUGCGUAGAUAUCAAGAAGAACACCGGUGGCGAAGGCGGCUCUCUGGAUCGAUACUGACGCUGAGGCACGAAAGCAGGGGGAGCAAACAGGAUUAGAUACCCUAGUAGUCCC
This 470-nucleotide ribosomal RNA is filed under the name uncultured bacterium. RNAcentral's name for it is "bacterial SSU rRNA". It matches the Rfam family "Bacterial small subunit ribosomal RNA", at positions 335 to 797 of the family's 1533-position model. The record is from RNAcentral.